This is a long non-coding RNA of Canis lupus familiaris (dog), 1674 nucleotides long. RefSeq lists it as uncharacterized. Lineage: Eukaryota; Metazoa; Chordata; Mammalia; Carnivora; Canidae. The transcript is spliced from 3 exons. The record is from RefSeq and is a predicted model, not a curated record.
CACGGGGCUGGCGCGUGCGCCCGAGGCGGCCGGGGCUCAGGGCCAGCCCGAGGGCCUCAGGGCUCCUGUGGUCGGGUAGUGACCAGGCUGUGGCACUCGGUGGUCACGUGACCGAGCAGCGACCGGGCGGCGGGAGCGCCUCAGCGGUGAACGAGUAAUUGCCGGUGGCGGGGCUGCCUUCGCGGUCACGUGAUCGGCUAAUUAUAGGCAGCGGGAGCGCCCUGGGUGGUCACGUGACCCGAUGGUUUUGCUUCUAAUGAGCCAAGUAAAAAUGAGAGUCAUUGAAAAAGGAUUCAAGUGGCAAAAAGAAUUUGGAAGCAAACUACAUAUUCUUCAACAUGGGACUGGUAACUCAAUUAAAGUACAUCCAACAAAUGGAGAUUGAGCAGUCCCCGUAAAGGACGACAGCGCGUCCAGGCCCUGGCCAUGGCAAGGGACCUCAGACCUACCCACUCCUGUGCCCGCUCGCCUGCUGGGGCUCUAGCUGAGGCAGGACCUGGAAGUCACUGGAUGAGGCUGCUCCCUGGGAGCCACUAGGUGGGAGCCACGGCCUGCCCCUGAGGUGGCUCCAGAGCACACAGCAGGGCAGGCUCUCUGUCCUCUGGGCCAGCCCCUCCUCAUGUUCACCCACACUCAGGCUGUCGUCUGCCUUUGAGACCUUUCUCUAUUCCAUUCUCCUGGGGGCUUCCCCAGUAUUCCUCAGCACCACCCUAAGUGAGGUGUUGUCCUGGUCCUUCCAGAGCCCUCUCCACGUGCCCCCGCCCGUUCUUCCUCCUGUUUGUUCCUGAGCCCAUCCAUCUGGGAUCUCCCUGCUUCUGUGGCUGCAAAGUCCUUUUUCUGCAUGGUAGUUAGAGGGGUCCUUUUGAAAUGCUGUCACUCCUCUGCAUAAACUCAUGAAAUGGUGAGCUAGCCUCCUGUGGAAAGCAGCCUCAUCCUUACCUCAGCGCCCCCUGCAGGGAUCUCACCUGUGCUUCACACAUCCCAGCUCCUGCCAGGCCGAGGGUCCCCAGGGCCCCAGCGGGGCAGCCCCCGCAUGGAGACAGUGUCUGUCUACUUGGUGUCCUUCCCAGGGCAGAGCUGGGCCCCUGUGUCUCUGCUUGGUCUUACCUGGAGAUUAGCCUUCCUGCAGGAGACCAGUUCUGAUUCAUCUGAGUCUCUGGCAUCCAGCCCUGGGCUGGGUCACAAAAUAACUGAGCAAGGACAGCACAUCCUGUGGGUUUCCAGCCCAUGGUUCUGGACAGACUUUGAGUCUCCAGUCUGCCCUCGGGCAAGCAUCCUAUCAGUUCUGUGCCUCAGUUUCUUCAUCUUUAAAAUCGGGAUAAGUGAUCUCUUAAAUGAAGAGUCCUGUAAAGUGCUUAGCUGCAAAAAGUUACCUAAAUACUAUCUCAGAAUAAAAUUUGUACAUGUGUUCAUGGCAGCAUUAUUCAUAACAGUGGAAAAGGUGGAAAUGACCCAAAAGUAAUGGAUGAAUAAAUUGUGGUCCAUCCAGAGAAGGAAGUAUUAUUAUUAUUCAGCUAUAAAAAGAAUUGAAGCAUGGAUAUAUGCUACAACAUAGAUGAAUUUGGAAAACAUUAUGCUGAGCAAAACAAGCCAGAUGCGAAAGACCACAUGUGUAAUUCCGUUUAUAGGAGAACGACCAGAAAAGACAAAUCCAUGCAGAGUGGUUGCCAGGGG